GUGCCAGCCGCCGCGGUAAUACGGAGGAUGCGAGCGUUAUCCGGAAUUAUUGGGUUUAAAGGGUGCGUAGGCUGACAAGUAAGUCAGUGGUGAAAUACCCCGGCUUAACCGGGGGGUUGCCAUUGAAACUGUUUGUCUUGAGUGUAAUCGAAGUGGGCGGAAUGAGGUGUGUAGCGGUGAAAUGCAUAGAUAUACCUCAGAACACCGAUAGCGCAGGCAGCUCACUAGCUUACAACUGACGCUGAGGCACGAAAGCGUGGGUAUCAAACAGGAUUAGAUACCCCGGUAGUC
RNAcentral lists this ribosomal RNA (291 nucleotides) under uncultured prokaryote. Its description in RNAcentral is "partial 16S ribosomal RNA". It matches the Rfam family "Bacterial small subunit ribosomal RNA", at positions 505 to 795 of the family's 1533-position model. The record is from RNAcentral.